UGAGGAAUAUUGGUCAAUGGACGCAAGUCUGAACCAGCCAUGCCGCGUGAAGGAUGAAGGCGUUCUGCGUUGUAAACUUCUUUUAUCAGGGAAGAAACCUCAGAUUUCUAUUUGAGCCGACGGUACCUGAUGAAUAAGCACCGGCUAACUCCGUGCCAGCAGCCGCGGUAAUACGGAGGGUGCAAGCGUUGUCCGGAUUUAUUGGGUUUAAAGGGUGCGUAGGUGGGUUAUCAAGUCUGAUUUGAAAGCGUGUCGCUUAACGAUACGAUGUGGUUGGAAACUGGUAGUCUUGAAUGGGGUAGCGGUAGCCGGAAUGGGUCAUGUAGCGGUGAAAUGCUUAGAUAUGACAUAGAACACCGAUUGCGAAGGCAGCUUGAUAAACAACGAUUGACGCUGAGGCACGAAAGCGGGGGGAUCAAAAA
RNAcentral lists this ribosomal RNA (422 nucleotides) under uncultured bacterium. RNAcentral's name for it is "bacterial SSU rRNA". It matches the Rfam family "Bacterial small subunit ribosomal RNA", at positions 355 to 774 of the family's 1533-position model. The record is from RNAcentral.